RNAcentral lists this transfer RNA (81 nucleotides) under Cavia porcellus (domestic guinea pig). The record is from Rfam by way of RNAcentral. Lineage: Eukaryota; Metazoa; Chordata; Mammalia; Rodentia; Caviidae.
GGGGAUUUGGCUCAGCGGCAUAAGCGCCUGCCUUGCAAGCAGGCAGUUGUGAGUUAGGGUUAGGGUUAGGGUCAAUCCCUG